GGGAGAAGAAGAAGAGAAGUUGAGGGAGAAGAGAAGAAAAGAAGAAGAGGAGGGAAAAGAAGAGAUUAGGAAGAAGAGGGAGAAGAGAAGAAAAGAAGAAGAAGAAGAAGAGAGGGAAGAUGGAGAGGAGAGAGAGAGAGAGGCAGCAGCUGCAGCUAGGGCUGUAGCACCUCUGUUUCCCGCAGGUGGAAACAAAGGAGAGGAUGUGUGGGGCGUUGGGGAGGAAAAGGGAAGAAGAAGAAGAAGAAGAAGAAGAAGAAGAAGAAGAAGAAGAAGAAGAAGAAGAAGAAGAAGAGAGGAGGAUAGCUGUGGCAAGGCUGCAGCGAGGAGGUGUGUGGCGUUGGGGAGGAAAAGAAGAGAAGUUGAGGGAGAAGAGAAGAAAAGAAGAAGAGGGAAAGGAAGAGAUUAGGAAGAAGAGGGAGAAGAGAAGAAAAGAAGAAGAAGAAGAAGAGAUGGAAGAUGGAGAGGAGAGAGAGAGAGAGGCAGCAGCUGCAGCUAGGGCUGCAGCACCUCUGUUUCCCGCAGGUGGAAACAGAGGAGAGGAUGUGUGGGGCGUUGGGGAGGAAAAGGGAAGAGGAAGAAGAAGAAGAAGAAGAAGAAGAAGAAGAAGAAGAAGAAGAAGAAGAAGAGAGGAGGAUAGCUGUGGCAAGGCUGCAGCGAGGAGGUGUGUGGCGUUGGGGAGGAAAAAGGAAGAGGAGAAGAAGAGAAGGAGAAGAAGAGAAGGAGAAGAUAGGGAAGAGGGAGAGGAGCGAGAGGUGGCAGCAGCUAGGGCUGCAGCACCUCUGUUUCCUGCAGGUGGAAACAGAGGAGAGGUGUGGGGCGUUCGAAGAGGAGAAGAAGAAGAAGAGGAAGAGAAGAGGAAGAGGAAGCAGGAGAAGAGGUUGUGAUACCUCUGUUUCCUGCAGAGGAAACAGAGGAGAGGGUGUGUGUGACGCUGGGGAGGAGGAGGGAAGAAGAAGAGGAGAAGAAGAAGAGAAGGGAAAGGAGGAGCUGCGGCUGCGGCGGUGGAAUCUGCAGCUGGAAGAGAAGGAGAGGAAGAGAUGGUGAGGAAGAAGAGAAGAAGUAGAAGCGGGUGAAGAGGCAGCACCUCUGUUUCCUGCAGGAGGAAACAGAGGAAAGGAGGUGCUGUUCGUCGGGGAGAAGAAGGGGAGGAAGGAGAAGAAGAGAAGAAGAAGAAAGGAAGGAGAAGGAAGAGGAGAAGGGAAAGAAGUAGCUGCGGCUGCGGCUGCGGCUGUGGCAGCUGCAGCUAUGGCAGGGAAAGAGGAAGAGAAAGGAAGAAGGGAAGGAGAGGAAGAAGAGAAGGGAAAGAAGGGGCUGCGGCUGCGGCGAUGGCAGCUGCAGUUGGAAGAGAAGAAGGAGAGGAAGAUGAGCAAGGGAGGAAGAAGAGGCUGUGGCCGUGGCUGAGGCUGCGACUGCAGCAGUGCAGCUAGGAAAGAAGAGAAGGAAAGGAAGAAGAAGAGAAAGGAAAAGGGAAGAAGAGAGGAAGAGGAGAAGGGGAGGCAGCUGUGGCAGUGACAGUGGCAGCUGCAGCUGAAAGAGAAGGAGAGGAAAUAGAGCAGGGGAGGAAGAAGAGGCUGCGGCUGUGGUGGCUGCGGCCAUGGCUGUGACUGCGACUGCGGCAGUUGCAGCUGGGAAAGAAAAGAAAGGAAAGGGGAAAAAGGGGCUGCGGACGGGAUUGCGGCCGUAGUGGCAGCGACUGCGUAUGCAGUAGUUAUGUCUGCGAGAGAAGGGAGCAAGGAAGUAGUACAGUGGAAGGGGCUGCGGUUGUGACAGCAGCUGCGGUCGUGGCUACGACUGUGGUAGUGGCAGCGGCGAUGGCUGCGACAACUGUGUUUGAAAAAGAAAACGAAGGAAUGAGAGUAAGAGAGAGCAUGUGACUAUGCCUCUAUGUUCUGCAUGAGUUGUAGUUGUGGAGGAAAAAGAAAAGACAUGUAGAAAACGAAACAGAGAGAGAGGACACGGAGGAAAAGUAGAAGGAUUUGGGCUGGCACACUCUUUGGAUCUUCGUAUCGAAAUCUUUGAAAGCCAAGUUUCCUGAUCGUUUCUCCUGUCAGCUUGUCACCAUUUGAGAUGUUUGAUAUGGGCUGAGGCAGUGGAUAGCUAUUCAGAAUUAUGGGCAAGUCUUGUUGGUUGUUAUGCUAUUGUUGUAUAAGCAUAUUUUGUAUGUAAUAAAAUGUUGUUGAUGAAUCGAAAUGGAUAUACUGUGUAAAAGUGUUAGAAGAUCUCUCUUAUUUGGAAUUUCGGAAUGUUAAGUCCAAUUUAUGA
Molecule: long non-coding RNA, 2265 nt
Organism: Musa acuminata AAA Group (dessert banana)
Lineage: Eukaryota; Viridiplantae; Streptophyta; Magnoliopsida; Zingiberales; Musaceae
Exons: 2
Source: RefSeq, a predicted model, not a curated record